GUUAAAAUGGUUGAGUGGUUUAAGGCGCUAGACACAAGUUUUGGUCCUUGUGUGAGGGCGUGGGUUCAAAUCCCACUUUUGCCA
This 84-nucleotide transfer RNA is filed under the name Ipomoea nil (Japanese morning glory). It matches the Rfam family "tRNA". Rfam says of the family: Transfer RNA (tRNA) molecules are approximately 80 nucleotides in length. Their secondary structure includes four short double-helical elements and three loops (D, anti-codon, and T loops). The record is from Rfam by way of RNAcentral. Lineage: Eukaryota; Viridiplantae; Streptophyta; Magnoliopsida; Solanales; Convolvulaceae.